UUACGGCCAUAUCACGUUGAAACAUCGGUUCUCGUACAAUCACCGAAGUUAAGCAAAGUCGAGCUUGAUCAGUACCUGGAUGGGUGACCGCUUGGGAAUUUCGGGUGCUGUAAG
This 114-nucleotide ribosomal RNA is filed under the name Acanthosepion pharaonis. The record is from RNAcentral. Lineage: Eukaryota; Metazoa; Mollusca; Cephalopoda; Sepiida; Sepiidae.